AGCGGGGGAUCUUCGGACCUCGCGCUAUUGGAUGAGCCUGCGUCCGAUUAGCUAGUUGGUGGGGUAAUGGCCUACCAAGGCGACGAUCGGUAGCUGGUCUGAGAGGACGACCAGCCACACUGGGACUGAGACACGGCCCAGACUCCUACGGGAGGCAGCAGUGGGGAAUAUUGGACAAUGGGGGCAACCCUGAUCCAGCAAUGCCGCGUGUGUGAAGAAGGCCUUCGGGUUGUAAAGCACUUUCGCCGGGGACAAACAAGGCGGGGCUAAUACCUCCGCUUCUGAUGGUACCCGGAGAAGAAGCACCGGCUAACUCUGUGCCAGCAGCCGCGGUAAUACAGAGGGUGCGAGCGUUAAUCGGAAUUACUGGGCGUAAAGGGUGCGUAGGCGGUUCGUUAAGUCAGAUGUGAAAGCCCGGGGCUCAACCUCGGAAUUGCAUUUGAUACUGGCGAGCUCGAGUGUGGUAGAGGGUAGUGGAAUUCCACGUGUAGCGGUGAAAUGCGUAGAGAUGUGGAGGAAUACCAGUGGCGAAGGCGGCCCCCUGGAUCGAUACUGACGCUGAGGUGCGAAAGC
This 573-nucleotide ribosomal RNA is filed under the name uncultured beta proteobacterium. RNAcentral describes it as "bacterial SSU rRNA". It matches the Rfam family "Bacterial small subunit ribosomal RNA", at positions 202 to 760 of the family's 1533-position model. Lineage: Bacteria; Pseudomonadati; Pseudomonadota; Betaproteobacteria. The record is from RNAcentral.